GAGGGUAUAGCUCAGUGGUAGAGCACAUGUUUAGCAUGCAUGAGGUCCUGGGUUCAAUCUCCAGUACCUCCA
Molecule: transfer RNA, 72 nt
Filed under: Camelus bactrianus (Bactrian camel)
Lineage: Eukaryota; Metazoa; Chordata; Mammalia; Artiodactyla; Camelidae
Also listed under: 2 other names
Rfam family: tRNA
About the family: Transfer RNA (tRNA) molecules are approximately 80 nucleotides in length. Their secondary structure includes four short double-helical elements and three loops (D, anti-codon, and T loops).
Source: Rfam by way of RNAcentral